RNAcentral lists this transfer RNA (68 nucleotides) under Ranina ranina. RNAcentral's name for it is "tRNA-Lys". The record is from RNAcentral. Lineage: Eukaryota; Metazoa; Arthropoda; Malacostraca; Decapoda; Raninidae.
CCCGAUGACUGAAAGUAAGUGUAGGUCUUUUAAACCUAUAAUAGUAAUCGCGCCUACUUCUGGUGAAG